GUGGGGAAUCUUGCGCAAUGGGCGAAAGCCUGACGCAGCCAUGCCGCGUGAAUGAUGAAGGUCUUAGGAUUGUAAAAUUCUUUCACCGGGGACGAUUAUGACGGUACCCGGAGAAGAAGCUCCGGCUAACUUCGUGCCAGCAGCCGCGGUAAUACGAAGGGGGCUAGCGUUGCUCGGAAUUACUGGGCGUAAAGGGCGCGUAGGCGGACAGCUUAGUCAGAGGUGAAAGCCCAGGGCUCAACCUUGGAAUUGCCUUUGAUACUGGCUGUCUUGAGUUUGGGAGAGGUGAGUGGAACUCCGAGUGUAGAGGUGAAAUUCGUAGAUAUUCGGAAGAACACCAGUGGCGAAGGCGACUCACUGGCCCAAUACUGACGCUGAGGCGCGAAAGCGUGGGGAGCAAACAGGAUUAGAAACCCGUGUAGUCC
This 425-nucleotide ribosomal RNA is filed under the name uncultured bacterium. Its description in RNAcentral is "partial 16S ribosomal RNA". It matches the Rfam family "Bacterial small subunit ribosomal RNA", at positions 354 to 796 of the family's 1533-position model. The record is from RNAcentral.